Molecule: non-coding RNA, 82 nt
Organism: Danionella cerebrum
Lineage: Eukaryota; Metazoa; Chordata; Actinopteri; Cypriniformes; Danionidae
Source: the annotation of a GenBank genome assembly
GUCAUUGUGGCCAAGUGGUUAAGGCGAUGGACUUAAAAUCCCUUUGGGUUUCUCCGCGCAGGUUCAAAUCCUGCCGAUCAUG